RNAcentral lists this ribosomal RNA (1238 nucleotides) under uncultured Acinetobacter sp. RNAcentral describes it as "bacterial SSU rRNA". It matches the Rfam family "Bacterial small subunit ribosomal RNA", at positions 73 to 1328 of the family's 1533-position model. The record is from RNAcentral. Lineage: Bacteria; Pseudomonadati; Pseudomonadota; Gammaproteobacteria; Moraxellales; Moraxellaceae.
GGUUGCUUCGGUAACUGACCUAGCGGCGGACGGGUGAGUAAUACUUAGGAAUCUGCCUAUUAAUGGGGGACAACAUCUCGAAAGGGAUGCUAAUACCGCAUACGCCCUACGGGGGAAAGCAGGGGAUCACUUGUGACCUUGCGUUAAUAGAUGAGCCUAAGUCGGAUUAGCUAGUUGGUGGGGUAAAGGCCUACCAAGGCGACGAUCUGUAGCGGGUCUGAGAGGAUGAUCCGCCACACUGGGACUGAGACACGGCCCAGACUCCUACGGGAGGCAGCAGUGGGGAAUAUUGGACAAUGGGGGGAACCCUGAUCCAGCCAUGCCGCGUGUGUGAAGAAGGCCUUAUGGUUGUAAAGCACUUUAAGCGAGGAGGAGGCUCUCUUGGUUAAUACCCAAGAUGAGUGGACGUUACUCGCAGAAUAAGCACCGGCUAACUCUGUGCCAGCAGCCGCGGUAAUACAGAGGGUGCGAGCGUUAAUCGGAUUUACUGGGCGUAAAGCGUGCGUAGGCGGCUUUUUAAGUCGGAUGUGAAAUCCCCGAGCUUAACUUGGGAAUUGCAUUCGAUACUGGGAAGCUAGAGUAUGGGAGAGGAUGGUAGAAUUCCAGGUGUAGCGGUGAAAUGCGUAGAGAUCUGGAGGAAUACCGAUGGCGAAGGCAGCCAUCUGGCCUAAUACUGACGCUGAGGUACGAAAGCAUGGGGAGCAAACAGGAUUAGAUACCCUGGUAGUCCAUGCCGUAAACGAUGUCUACUAGCCGUUGGGGCCUUUGAGGCUUUAGUGGCGCAGCUAACGCGAUAAGUAGACCGCCUGGGGAGUAUGGUCGCAAGACUAAAACUCAAAUGAAUUGACGGGGGCCCGCACAAGCGGCGGAGCAUGUGGUUUAAUUCGAUGCAACGCGAAGAACCUUACCUGGUCUUGACAUAGUAAGAACUUUCCAGAGAUGGAUUGGUGCCUUCGGGAACUUACAUACAGGUGCUGCAUGGCUGUCGUCAGCUCGUGUCGUGAGAUGUUGGGUUAAGUCCCGCAACGAGCGCAACCCUCGCCAUUAGUUGCCAUCAUUUAGUUGGGAACUCUAAUGGGACUGCCGGUGCUAAGCCGGAGGAAGGUGGGGAUGACGUCAAGUCCUCAUGGCCCUUACAGGGUGGGCUACACACGUGCUACAAUGGCUACUACAGAGGGUUAAUCCUUAAAAGUAGUCUCAGUUCGGAUUGUCCUCUGCAACUCGAGGGCAUGAAGUUG